UGGGCUCGAAAUGUAGUGGACCGGGGUGGAAACAUCCCUUCCCGCAAGGGCUGCUAUAUAGGUGCUGCAUGGCUGUCGUCAGCUCGUGUCGUGAGAUGUUGGGUUAAGUCCCGCAACGAGCGCAACCCUUAUUGUCAGUUGCCAUCAUUCAGUUGGGCACUCUGGCGAAACCGCCUCGGAUAACGGGGAGGAAGGUGGGGAUGACGUCAAGUCCUCAUGGCCUUUAUGUCCAGGGCUACACACGUGCUACAAUGGUCGGUACAAACCGUCGCAAACCCGUGAGGGGGAGCUAAUCGGAAAAAGCCGACCUCAGUUCGGAUUGGAGUCUGCAACUCGACUCCAUGAAGCUGGAAUCGCUAGUAAUCGCGGAUCAGAACGCCGCGGUGAAUACGUUCCCGGGCC
This 402-nucleotide ribosomal RNA is filed under the name uncultured bacterium. RNAcentral's name for it is "bacterial SSU rRNA". It matches the Rfam family "Bacterial small subunit ribosomal RNA", at positions 976 to 1380 of the family's 1533-position model. The record is from RNAcentral.